Molecule: ribosomal RNA, 502 nt
Filed under: uncultured bacterium
Lineage: Bacteria
Description: partial 16S ribosomal RNA
Rfam family: Bacterial small subunit ribosomal RNA
Source: RNAcentral
GACGAACGCUGGCGGCGUGCCUAAUACAUGCAAGUCGAACGAACCGCGACUAAGUGCUUGCACUAAGUCAAGGUGAGUGGCGAACGGGUGAGUAACACGUGGGUAACCUACCUCAUAGUGGGGGAUAACAGUCGGAAACGACUGCUAAUACCGCUAAGGACAUAGGCUCACAUGCUCCAGUGAGGAAGGGUGGCGCAAGCUAUCGCUGAGGGAUGUAGCCGCGGUGCAUUAGCUAGUUGGUAGGGUAAAGGCCUACCAAGGCGAUGAUGCAUAGCCGACCUGAGAGGGUGAUCGGCCACAUUGGGACUGAGACACGGCCCAAACUCCUACGGGAGGCAGCAGUAGGGAAUCUUCCGCAAUGGACGCAAGUCUGACGGAGCAACGCCGCGUGAGUGAAGAAGGUCUUCGGAUCGUAAAGCUCUGUUGUUAGAGAAGAACAGCGCAUAGAGUAACUGCUAUGCGUGUGACGGUAUCUAACCAGAAAGCCACGGCUAACUACGUG